CAGGGAGUGGUGCUUUCUUGCAGGUUUGCCGAGUGGAAGGUGCGACGUGCUCGUCGUGUGCUCCGGAUGGCAGUCGUGAGUCACUCAACUGAUGAGGGGUGAAUUCCCCGAAACACCGUGUAUUGAGCAGGGAGUGGUGCUUUCUUGCAGGUUUGCCGAGUGGAAGGUGCGACGUGCUCGUCGUGUGCUCCGGAUGGCAGUCGUGAGUCACUCAACUGAUGAGGGGUGAAUUCCCCGAAACACCGUGUAUUGAGCAGGGAGUGGUGCUUUCUUGCAGGUUUGCCGAGUGGAAGGUGCGACGUGCUC
Long non-coding RNA from Sycon ciliatum, 306 nucleotides. RefSeq lists it as uncharacterized. The record is from RefSeq and is a predicted model, not a curated record. NCBI's taxonomy places the organism in Eukaryota, Metazoa, Porifera, Calcarea, Leucosolenida, Sycettidae. The transcript has 3 exons.